CCUACGGGUGGCAGCAGUGAGGAAUAUUGGUCAAUGGACGAGAGUCUGAACCAGCCAAGCAGCGUGAAGGAUGACUGCCCUAUGGGUUGUAAACUUCUUUUAUAUGGGAAUAAAACGUUCCACGUGUGGGAUUUUGUAUGUAUCAUAUGAAUAAGGAUCGGCUAACUUCGGGCCAGCAGCCGCGGUAAUACGGAGGUUCCGAGCGUUAUCCGGAUUUAUUGGGUUUAAAGGGAGCGUAGGUGGAUUGUUAAGGCAGUUCUGAAAGGUUGCGGCUCAACCGUAAAAUUGCAGUUGAAACUGGCAGUCUUGAGUGCAGUAGAGGUGGGUGGGAUUCGUGGUGUAGCGGUGAAAUGCGUAGAUAUCACGAAGAACUCCGAUUGCGAAGGCAGUUCACUGGACUGCAACUGACGCUGAGGCUCGAAAGUGUGGGUAUCAAACAGGAUUAGAUACCCCAGUAGUC
Molecule: ribosomal RNA, 460 nt
Filed under: uncultured bacterium
Lineage: Bacteria
Description: partial 16S ribosomal RNA
Rfam family: Bacterial small subunit ribosomal RNA
Source: RNAcentral